Molecule: ribosomal RNA, 445 nt
Filed under: uncultured Bacillota bacterium
Lineage: Bacteria; Bacillati; Bacillota
Description: bacterial SSU rRNA
Rfam family: Bacterial small subunit ribosomal RNA
Source: RNAcentral
GGACCCGCACAAGCGGUGGAGCAUGUGGUUUAAUUCGAAGCAACGCGAAGAACCUUACCAAGUCUUGACAUCCCUCUGACCGGACAGUAACGUGUCCUUUCCUUCGGGACAGAGGUGACAGGUGGUGCAUGGUUGUCGUCAGCUCGUGUCGUGAGAUGUUGGGUUAAGUCCCGCAACGAGCGCAACCCUUAUUUUUAGUAGCCAGCAAGUAGUGUUGGGCACUCUAGAGAGACUGCCAGGGAUAACCUGGAGGAAGGUGGGGAUGACGUCAAAUCAUCAUGCCCCUUAUGAUUUGGGCUACACACGUGCUACAAUGGUAUCUACAAAGUGACGCAAGAUGGUGACAUGGAGCAAAAUCAACAGAAAAGAUAUCUCAGUUCGGAUUGUAGUCUGCAACUCGACUACAUGAAGCUGGAAUCGCUAGUAAUCGCGAAUCAGAAUGUCG